CCCUUCAGAGGGGGACAACAGUUGGAAACGACUGCUAAUACCGCAUACGAUCUGACCUCGGCAUCGAGGAUGGAUGAAAGGUGGCCUCUAUUUAUAAGCUAUCACUGAAGGAGGGGAUUGCGUCUGAUUAGCUAGUUGGAGGGGUAACGGCCCACCAAGGCGAUGAUCAGUAGCCGGUCUGAGAGGAUGAACGGCCACAUUGGGACUGAGACACGGCCCAG
This 221-nucleotide ribosomal RNA is filed under the name uncultured bacterium. Its description in RNAcentral is "partial 16S ribosomal RNA". It matches the Rfam family "Bacterial small subunit ribosomal RNA", at positions 129 to 334 of the family's 1533-position model. The record is from RNAcentral.